This 13639-nucleotide long non-coding RNA is filed under the name Elaeis guineensis (African oil palm). RNAcentral describes it as "long non-coding RNA (EGUI_LNC007279)". The record is from RNAcentral. Lineage: Eukaryota; Viridiplantae; Streptophyta; Magnoliopsida; Arecales; Arecaceae.
AUCUUUCUAGUGAGCUUUUGACAUAUCUAGAAGAGAAAGAUUUUUUCACAAUGGACUCUUCUUGAGACACCGCAAUAUAAUAGGAUGUCUGAAAGAAGGAAUCAAACUCUGUUAGACAUGAUUUGGUCCAUGAUGAGGUUUGCACAUCUGCCUAUCUUCUUUUGGGGAUAUGUUCUUGAGACUACCUGCUAUGUACUUAAUAAGGUUCCAAGCAAGUCUGUCAUAAAAACUCUAUAUAAGAUAUGGACAAGCGUAGGCCAACACUCUCUCACCUUAGGCUUUGAGGUUGUCUGGUUCAUAUUAAAUAUUUACAGAUAGAUAAAUUUGGACCUAGGUCUGAUAAAUAUAAGUUUAUAGGAUACCCAAAAGAAACUAAGAGAUAUUAUUUCUAUCUUGCUGAAGAACAAAAAGUGUUCGUCAACCCUAGGAUACUCUUUUUAGAAAAAGAGUUCCUUAAUGAAGGAGCUAAUGCCACUAAGAUCGAGCUUGACGAAGUUCGACAAGUAGAACAACUAGCAUAAUCAAGUAGAUAUAUAGAAUCAAAUUUGAUUAGAGAAUCAAAUUCGGAGUCCAUUAUAGAAGCACCAUUAAGGAGAUCCGAUAGAGUACUGCAUCAGCCAGACAGAUACUACAGUUUUUUAGUGUAGGAUGAUAAUUCUAUUGAAUUUGAUGAGAACAACGAGGAUCCGAUCACCUAUAUGGAUGCUAUACAGAGAUCAAACUUUAAAGAAUGGCUUAAGACCAUGAAAUCCGAAAUGGAGCUCAUGGAGAUCAAUGGUGUAUGGAUACUAGUUGAUUCACCUAAAAGGAUAAAAUCUAUAAGGUGCAAAUGGACAUUCAAAAAGAAAAGUGAAGACCUAUAAAAUUUGUUUGGUUGCCAAAGGACAUUGUCAAUAUUAUGAUAUUGACUAUGAUGAGAUAUUUUCUCCUGUGGCAAUACUGAAAUCUAUUCGAAUUUUGCUUGCAAAAGCAGUAUAUCUAAAUUACAAAAUUUGGCAAAUGGAUGUUAAGAUAGCUUUUCUGAAUGAAAAGCUAGAUGAAGAAGUGGAUAUGAUACAGUCUGAAGGGUUCACAUUCACAGAUGAAUCUAAGAUGUACAAGCUAUAGAAAUUUAUUUAUGGAUUAAAGAAAGCAUCCCGAAGUUGAAACGUGCAUUUUAAUAAAACAAUCAAAACGUAUGGCUUCGUUAAGAACCGAAAAGAGGCUUAUGUAUAUAAAUAGGCUAACAGUUCUAUGGUCAUCUUCUUUGUACUGUAUAUGGAUGAUAUUUUCUUAAUUGAGAAUGACAUCCCUGCAUUAUAAAGUGUGAAGCUUUGAUUGUCUUCACAAUUCUUCAUGAAAAAUUUACAAGAAGCAUCCUACAUCAUAAGGAUGAAGAUCUAUAGAGAUAGAUCUAAAAGGUUGCUUAGAUUGUUUCAAUUCACGUACAUUGAUACCAUACUGAAAUAGUUCAGUAUGACAAAUUCUCAGAAGAAAUAUCUUUUGAUAGGUCAAAAAAUUUCUCUCUCUAAAAAAGAUUGUCUGACAAUCUCACAAGAGAGAGAGUGUAUGAGUAGAAUCUCAUAUAUCUCGACAGUAGGAUCUAUCAUGUACGCUAUGAUAUAUACGAGAUCGGAUGUUGCCUACUCACUAGGGAUAGUGAGCAAGUAUCAGCUAGAUCCAGAUGAGAACCAUUAGAAGGUUUUAAAAAUUAUCCUCAAGUAUUUAAAAAAUACUAAGGAUCAAUGGUUAAUUUAUGGAGAUGCUGACUUAAAACUUAUGGGAUAUAUAGAUUUCUAUUUUCAGUCAAAUCAUGAUGACAACAAGAGUUUGUCUGGUUACACUUUACUCUUUAUGAUCGAGUGAUAUGCUGAAAAAGUCUCAAGCAACAUACGGUAGCAAAUUUUAUUUGUAAGGUGGAGUACAUUGCGACAUCCGAUGCUGCCAAAGAAGUGAUUUGGUUAAAAAAGUUCAUCAACAAAUUUGGAGUGGUUCCCUCUCUCGAUGGUCUAGUUCUACUGUACUGUGACAACACUGGUGCUAUAGCUCAAGCCAAGAAACUCAAGUCCCAUCAAAGAACCAAAUAUAUUCUGCGUCACUAUCACCUUAUCGUGAGAUCGUGGAUCAAGGUGAUGUCAAUCUUUAGAAGAUCGAUGAAAAAAAAAUUUGGCUAACCCAUUUACUAAAGCUCUCGAAAUCAAGGAGUUCGAUGAUCAUAAGUUAAAGAUGGGUAUUAGAUACCGUUCCAAUUGACUUUAGUUCAAGUAAAAGAUUGUUAGGAAUGUGUCUUAAAAUCAAUCAUCUAAGUUAUAAAUGAUUGCGCUCUUGUAUAUGAAUUGUAAUUGAAUUACAUUAAUAAAAUUUUUUUUUGAUAAGCUCAUCAUAAUUUUGCAUCUUCUUUUUAGAACUCCUUUUAUGAUGAUGUCCUUAGAGCUAUUAAUUAUCGAUAAAAAAAAUUUUAUCGAAUUUAAAAUUUUGUUCAUGACUAAAUGAUACAUUAUUACUAGGACGAUAAUAUUUAUCAAGUAUAGAUUGUUGUGUACCAUAUAGACUGGUUGUCCUUGUAGCCAAGGAGUGUGGAGACGAUAUGGCAUGCAGGUAAAAUAUAGGAGUACAUUUUACUGAACAGUGACUCAAAUGCGGAGCGCUUUGCUUUCAAGAGCUACUCGAGAAAGAUAUGGUAUAAGUGUCUCUCCGAUCUGAGAUCACCAUGGUGAUUUGUAAGCAACUCACUGUACUUUGCUGCUGAACUAUUUAUAUUUCUAAUAUAGUGACGAAAGAUUUCUGAGCACAGUCAAGUACUUGCGAAGUCUGUAUGUGAGUUAAGAUGGGAUUGACUUGCUCUUGAUUUAAGAAGAUAAUGCUAUAUUAUGUUUCAAUUCAGUAAAAUCUUGAUCAGAGUAAUCCUUGUGAUCAGUCACAGAAUUUAUGAAGUUGAAACAUAAUACGGAUGACUUGUCAAGAGUUUGGCAGUUUAACUCUAAGGUCAUCCUAAGCAUUGAUCAAAGGGAUGAAUUAUACGGUAACCAUAUGUCAGGGUUCUGAAAUAUUAUUUUGUAAUUAUUCGACUUAUCUAGACAUCAGAUAUCAUUAUUAGAUGAUCACUUCGAUUAAUAUAAAAAUUAUUUCUGUACUAUCGGUUUAGUGUUCGAAUCUAUAGAAUCAUGCAUAUUAUCAAAUGAUGUGGAAGAGGGCUUGACCUAAAGUCAGUAUGUUCAAUUUGGAAGUAGGUGACUUAAUUGAACAAAUAGACUUACUUAAUUGAGAAUUAAGUUUUGGAUCAUACGGGAUUAAAUACUAGCUAUAUCCAACUACCGCUGAGCAUGAGCUGCAGGAUUAAUUUCGAGGAUGAAUAUGAAUUAAUUUCUGAUCCAAAGAAUUUGAAAGAAUUAAGUUCGACUCCUAAUUUCUUUUAGGAACCAAACUUCUGAUCAGGAUCUGAUCUAUAAUUGGAUUGGAUUUGAGACCUAAUUAAUUUAAAUUAAAUUUAAUUUAAUUAGGCUUGAUUUGAUGUAAGGCCAAUAAUAUAAGUUAGACUUGGAUUUUAACCCUAAUUAGAUUAGGGUCAACAAUUUUUCGAAUAUGAUUCAAAUCAGGUUCGAAUCGGAUUCAAAUUGAGCCUAGAUUGGAACCAAAUUUGAUUUGGUCACUUAGCCAUAAAAUCCCUGGGCUUCUCUCUCAUGUUGACCAACCAUUAGGGAAGAGAGGUGCUAGGAAAUCCUACCCCCUUCCCUUGUGCAUACGAUAAUAUGAGGAGGCGCAAGUUUGGCGCCUCCCCUCCUCCUUGGGUCUCUUUAGGGAUAAGCUAUAAUUUGAAUUAGAUUCAAAUUAGGGCUCUUAUCCCUUGAUGACAUGCCUUAUUAGGUUUGUGAGACAAACCUUAAGAAUGGGUGUUGGGAGGGGUGUGAAAAAAAGAACAACAUCACAAACGAAUGAAGGGUUGGCGUGGGAUUUGAUCUUCAUGCCAAUCUUCCUCCUCCAUGCCUUAUCUCCUUUGCUUCUUCUCUGGUGUGACAUCCAAGAUCAUCAUCCCCUCUCUUUCGCGGAGUGAGACGUGCAAAUGAAGAAGAGGAGUUGCAUCAAUAACUCUCACGAAGCAAGACUUGGAUACUCAAAAUAGAUUUUCUUCCACUGUGUAGAAGGUAUAUUGAUACCUUAUCGAGAAUUUUUAAAUCUGAAAUCUGUUCUUCUUUCCUAAUUUUUCAUCUGAAUUCGGAUUCAGAUCAAAAUAUUUUUCUUCAAAUCUUGGAAGAGAAAACAAAGGAUAGCAUAGAAGUUGGGAUAGAUGUAUGGUCUAGCCACAAUAGGGGACUCUUCAUGAUUCCUAUAGCCUCCCUAGCCAAGAUACUGCAUUGUAUGGCCUUUUUAUCCUAAAGGAGGUGAUUAGAUUUCUUAUAGGUAUCCAAACCCAAUUCAGGACUAUGAUUUGGUUAGGGCCUAGUGGUUUGUCUCCUAGAAGAAGAUCCAUUAGUCAAAUUAAGAAGGCCUCUACCGACUCUAAGGAGGGGAAUGAUCAUCAGAGCUGAACCAAUACUCCCAAUCUUCUCCAGCAUUAGCAGAACUUUCGUCAGAAGAGCGCGAGUCCAUGGGAGCUUGCUUAGAAACAAAGUUAACUCUGAUUUGAACAUUGAAUAUGUGUGGACCAACAGUUACAUUAACAGAUUUCAGAAUGUCAUCAAUGUCAUUGCAAAAGAAAUCAAGAUCGAAGGAUGAAAAAUCUUCCCACUUUAGACAACUUUUGCUAGCUUGAUGAGAUAACCCAAAGCUAGAAAUAAUCAUCAUGAUGGCAUGCGAAUUCCAGCAGAUAAGGGGAAGAUUAAGAAGGCUGGCACUUACCUUUACCUUGAAAACUAUUUCUAUAGUUUUCAACGAAUACAAAGACGGAUACUAAGUUAAUAUUCAUAUUUGUUCUAAAAAGAUAAACAUUAAGUAUAUUUAUGUUUGUCCUGAGUGGAUAGAAAUAUAAGUUGGUAUUAGUUAUCCAUAAUUUUUGUAUCAAAAUAUAAAUAUAAGCUGUAUAUUAUUUAGAUAUAAAUUGAAUUUUUUUCAUUGCUUAAUGAUGAAAAUUAAUAUUAAUUAUAUAAUCAUAAAAGUUGAGAAUCACUAGAUAGAUUGCAUAUGACGUAUAUGCAAGUAAAAAUAUAAUGUAUCAUUAUUAAAUCUGCACAAAGACUAACCUGCUCAAGAGUUUAAGUCAUCGAUUCAAUUGAAUUUAUGUUAAAAUAUUAAAAAUCAAAAUAUUUAAAAUAAAAUAUGAUAUUAUCAGAUAUAGUAAUAUGCAAUUUGGUAAAAAUCAAAUUACAAUUUAAAUCUUCCUGAAUUGAUUAUCAGAUAUAGUAAUCCCUGAUUUGGUGAAAAUUAAAUCAUAAUUCAAACCUUUUUGAAUUGAUUCAUUGUAUAUUCUUUUUUUAUUCUUUUCUGUAGUCUAUUUAUAUGAAGUUAACCAUGUACAGAGAAUUCAAUUUAAAUCAAUAUAUUGAAUUUCUCUUUUUCUUUUAAUUUUGACAUGGUAUUAGAGCCAUUCAUUCCUUAUUCCAUCUAAUCCCAGCCGUCGGAUUCAUCGCUCUUCUUCUCCUUUUUUUCCAGCUGUGGAAUUAUUUUUCUUCUUGAUUGUGAUACUCAUCUGUGCGACCUUCCUAACAUACUGCUGCUCUUGUUCAGCACUCCUCCCUCUUCCUAUCCCUCAAGAGGUUCUUCGAGGCACCCUGGGAGAUCACUGGCCCCUGUGCCAACAUCAGGUAUUGGACCGUCCUCCCUAAAGCCAUCGAGUACCACUGCUUCUCUCUGCUGUUAGCCUUGACUGCUUCUCCAUGGCUAACGAAGAUUUGAGAGAAUCUUCUCAACCUAUGAAAGUCAUUCUUGAUGGGACCGAUUAUUCCUUUUGAUCUCAAUAGAUGACUAGUUUUUUAAAAGAAAGAAAACUAUGGAAAUACAUGACAGGUAACAUACCUCUCCCAAUAAAAAAAGACAAUGGAACUGAUGAAGCCUUUGCUGCUCGACUUGAUGACUGAGAUAGUAACAAUCACAAAAUUAUCACAUGGAUCUCAAAUACAUCGAGUAUCAAUAUUGUCAUGGAAUUUGGCAAAUAUGAAAUAGCAAAAGAAGUUUGGGAUCAUGUUCAUAAAAGGUAUAUUGCUCCAGAUCCAACUCGUAAAUAUAAAUUAAAAUAAGAAUUGCUUUUCCUUCAACAAACUAUAGGUCAAUCGAUAGCAGAUUUUUACUCUUGUAUGUCCGUGCUAUGGCAACAACUGGAUCAGAUGGGUCCAAAACUCAAAAAUAAGGAAAGCAUGAUGGAGUAUGAAAAAUAUCAAGACACUGACAGAUUUUUAGAACUUUUGAUGGUGCUUUCUCUUGAAUUUGAGUCUGUCCGUGCCUCAAUUCUUCACAGAGAUUCUCUUCCAUCUCUUUUCAGUGCAUUGAAUGAACUUCUUUCUGAAGAAAUAUGCAAGGAUCUUCUAACAACAAAUCAACAUCAUCAAGAAGCGGUAUUAUUUGCUAAAAAUAAAGGCAUCACCCUUCAUCAAAAGACACUGGCUCCUUUCCUCAUCAACCAGAUGGCAAAAUAGAUUGGAGCAAAGUUCAAUACCACUUUUGCCAUGAGUUUGGGCAUACUGCAACUAAAUAUCCCAAGAAAACUAGAGGACUUGCACCAUCACGAUCAACUACUGCUGUAGCUACCACAACAAACUUGAUGAACAAUGAGUCUGGUCAUAAGGGAUCUACUCCUACAUUCACAGCUGUUGAAGCGGAGGAUAUUCUUGUUAAAGCCUUGCUUUCGUCAGGAUAAUAUUAUCUCUUCUUCUGCUUCUGCCUUAUCCACCACCUCAUGUAACUCUUCUACUUGGAUUCUUGAUAGUGGUGCUUCUAAUCAUAUGACCUUUGAUGCCUCUUAUCUUUCCACUAAAACACCCACUCGAGAUUGUCAGGUAUGGGAGCAACAGUCGAAGAAGGUCAUUGGGAUUGGCCGUAAAGUGAAUCGCCUCUUCAAGAUUGUUUGGCUACAUACUCCUCAAUUUUCAAUGGUCACUUCAUUAGUAACAACUUCUCAUCUUUGACAUCUUAGAUUAGGUCAUGUCUCAGUUUCUUACUUGAAUAAAUUUAUUUCAGAUGGAUUGUUAGGCCAUGUUGCAAAUAAAAAUAUUGAUUGUAUCCAUUGUAAACUUGAAAUAUUAUCUGCAUUACCUUUUAAUAAUAGCAUUCACAGUCCUUCUGCACCUUUUGAUCUUAUACACUCAGAUGUUUGGCGACCGUCUCGUGAUCCCACUAUGGGUGGAUCUAGAUAUUAUGUUAUUUUCAUUGACAAUUUUUCUCGCUACAUAUGGAUCUACUUGCUUAAAUCUCAUUCAAAAAUAAUUCUUAAAUAUAAAUAUUUUGCAAAAAUGAUCUAUACCCAAUUUUCAAAAAGGAUCAAAGUCUUUCGCUCAGAUUCUGAGGGAGAAUACAUGUUAAAUGAGUUUCGUAACUUUCUAUCUUCAAAGGGUAAUCUCCCAAUUAUCCUACCCUCGCACUCUCCAACAGAAUGGUCCAGUAGAAAAAAAAUAUAGACACAUUCUUGAAAUCACUCACACCCUUCUUUUAUCCUCUGGACUUUCUAAAUACUUUUGGAGAAAAGCUAUUCUAACCGCUGUUUAUCUUAUAAAUCGACUCGCUAGUACUAGUAUAGGAAUGAUCUCUCCUUUAUUUAAGUUAUUUGACAAACAUCCAACAUACGAUCAUCUUAAAUCUUUUAGGUGCGCUUGUUUUAUUUUACUUCUUCCAAAUGAAAAAGACAAACUUUCUGCUCGCUCCAACUUAUGUGUCUUCUUAGGUUAUGGAAUAGAACAAAAAGGUUAUCAAUGUUUCGAUCCCAAAGCCAAUCGCUUGUGCAUCUCAUGAAAUGUGGUAUUUUGGAAAUACAUUUCUUUCACAAACCUCUUUGAUUUCAACUCUCAACAACCAUCUCAGUCCACAAUACUUGAAGUAGAUAACAGUAUCUUUGUAGAUGAUGAUCUACUACAAGCUAAUCCUAUUAAGCCCCUCACGACUGUUAUACCAGUACCUCUAGCUUCAACAAUUGAACGACGAUAUCCUCAACGACAAUAUACAUCUAAUGUACAUCUCACUGGGUAUGAAACCUCUUUUAUUUUUACUUUACUUUCUUAUCAUGAGCCUAAAUCUUACUUAGAAGCAUCCACUACUCCUCUUUGAUAGAAAGUAUUUAAGGAAGAGUUGAAUGCUCUUGCUUAAAAUCAUACAUGGGAUCUUACAGAAUUACCUUCACAUAAGAUAGCUAGUGGAUGUAAGUAGAUCUUUAAGAUCAAAACUCAUUCAGAUGGAUCUAUAGAGUGCUACAAAGCUCGUCUAGUGGCGAAAGGCUACAAUCAGGAAUAUGGCAUUGACUAUGAAGAAACUUUUGUCCCAGUUGCUCGGCUCACUUCUGUUCGAGCCCUCCUUGCAGUAAUUUUUAUACGACAAUGGGAGCUUCAUCAAAUGGAUAUUAAAAAUGUAUUUCUUUAUGGCCAUCUUAAGGAAGAGGUAUAUGUGACCCCACCAUCUAAAGUAUCUCACCAACCUAAUGAAGUAUGUCAUUUUCAUCGAGCACUAUAUGGGCUUAAACAGGCACCAAGAGCAUGAUUCUCCAAGUUCAGCUCUAUCAUUUCAUCUUUUGGCUUUGUUCAAAGCUUAUAUGAUCCUGCAUUGUUUAUUCGAAAAAUUGAUAAAGGCAUCAUUUUAUUACUUCUUUAUGUUGAUGACAUGGUCAUAAUAGGAGAUGACUCUGAGGAUAUCUUGAAACUAAAAGCUUCACUGCAUAGUAAAUUUCAGAUGAAAGAUCUAAGCUCUCUUGACUAUUUUUUAGGCCUUGAAGUCACUACUCAAUCCUCUGGACUAAUUCUUUCUCAAAUUAAAUAUGUUUCUGAUCUCAUUACUCGUGCAGGGUUAAUUGAUGAUAAAACUGCUGCAACAUCCUUAGAGGUCAAUGUCAAGCUUGGUACAAAUGAUGAAAAAUCUCUUAACAAUCUCACACUCUACAGAGAACUUGUUGGUGGGUUAGUAUAUCUAACCACAACUCGAUUUGAUAUAGCUUAUGCAAUCAUGUUGUUAGACAAUUCAUGGCCAAACCUCACACUAGUCACUAUGCAGCAGCUCUUCGUAUCAUUCACUACUUAAAAGGUCAUCUUUUUUAGGGCAUUCUUUUACCACGCACCUCUGAUUUUUAGUUGCAUGCUUAUAGUGAUGCAGACUGUGCCGGCGACAUUAAUGAUCGAUGAUCUACAACUGACUUUUGUAUCUUUUUUGUUGAUUUUCUAAUCUCAUAGAGAAGUAAAAAGCAAGCAACCGUCUCUCGCUCAAGCACUAAAGUAGAAUAUCGAGCUCCUGCUGAUAUUAUCUCUGAACUCGUCUGGCUUCGUUGGCUGAUCUCCGAAGUGGGGUUUCCUCAAGAUAGCUCAACUCCAUUAUUUUGUGAUAAUAAGAAUGCCAUUCAAAUUACUCAUAAUGAAGUUUUUCAUGAAUGUACAAAGCACAUUGAAAUUGAUUGCCACUUCACUCGCCAGCAUGUUCGUCAAGAAACUGUCACGCUCCGCCAUAUCUCUUCUUCAGAUCAACUUACUGAUUUAUUCACGAAGCAACAUCUUGGCUCUCGACUUUCUACUUUAUGUUCGAACUCAAUAUGAUUUCCUGCCAAACCCAUCUUGAGUUUGCGGGAGGUGUCAAAUAUGGUAAUCCUUAAUUUGGUGAAAACCAAAUCACAAUUCAAUCCUUCCUAAAUUGAUUGUCUGAUAUAGUAAUCCCUGAUUUAGUAAAAACCAAAUCACAAUUCAAACUUUCCUGAAUUGAUUCAUUAUAUAUUCUUUUUUUGUUCCUUCCUAUAGUCUAUUUAUACGAUGUAAACUAUGUAUAAAGAAUUCAAUUCAAAUCAAUAUAUUGAAUUUUUCAUUUUCUCUUAAUUUUGAUAAGUAUAAAAAUAUUAAUAAUUUUUGCACCAAAUACUAUUACUACUCUUUAAUAUAUAGUAAAUAAAAAAUAAUCAUUAUUUACCUAUUUUUAGAGACCUUGUAAGAAAUAUUAUACAUAAAUAUAGUAAUACAUUAAAGUUAUUAAUAUUUCUAAAUAUUCAUGGAAAUGAAUGUUUAAAAAUAUUAUAAAGAAUAUUUUAUUUUUAUCAAAACUUACAAAAAAUAAUGUUAGAAUAUGAACUAUCAUAAUAUGUAUAAAUAAAUAUUUAAUAAUCUGAAUACCUUUGAAUAAGUAAAAUAAAGCACCUACAUGAGGUAGCCCGAUGCUUGUGCGCUUGCCCAAAUGUGACUAAGUUUUAUGGUUUAUUUCAGAUUUUUUUUACAUGAUUUUCAAAUCCUAACCUUAAAAAAUUUAAAAUCCAAAAUUUGGAUCCUGGCAAAAUUUAAAAGCAAAAAUCUAAAUUUAGAUCCGGAUCGGAUUGGAUACUAUAAUUACAAUUUGAAUUCUAUCCAAACCUGAUGAUACAUAAACAGAUGCGGUUGGAUAAAUCUUCAGCCCUAAAUCCAAAUAUUUUGAUACCAUGUUUCAUUUUAAUUUAUAGUCUAAAAGCAUACAUAGGUGUGUGUGCAAUGUUGAAAUUAGGAUUGAAUUUUUAAAUUUCAUUUUUGAUAACACAAAUUUGUUCAUUAAUUAUAUUGCUAACGCUUAAAUGGUUGAAGGACAAGUUAAGGCAUGAAUUGGUAUAUGUUUACAUGGUUAAGAUGUGUAGAACAAGAUCAUUUCUCAAAGAUAGUGCGACACUGUGCGUCAUUAUUAUUUCACCAAGUUUCAUGAAGCUGAGAGGGGCAAUGCAACAAAUUGCUCUGUUAAUGUUUCCUAAAAGAUCUGGGAUCUUGCUUUGCUAUUGGUCAUUUGACAAUAUCAUAAGAGUUAAUAACAAAAAUGAGGAGGCAAAAAGAUUAAUUUCAUAGAGGUACGAUUUGCAUCACGAUAGUUCGAUUAUCUAUGAAUGAUUUCUCACCCAACACCUUUUAAAAUGGAUUUCGAAGGGACAGAUACAUCAUUUUUUUUUCUACUGGAUAUAUUACAUCACUUUUGGGGAAGAGUCGGGUCUAAUGGUUGGUGUUUAGAGAAGCAAAGGCUUCCAUCCAUCUUUGCAAAAGAAGAAAAUAUGUCAUUUAUACUCUAAUUUCAAAACAUUGAGAAAUUAUUGUCUGAACCAUGCCUAGGUAGACCGGUGCAUAUCUUGGAGCACACAUGAUAACAUACAAUCGGGAAUUCGUGAAAUAUAAGGGUUAAUGUGGUGUGUUAACUACGGUAGGAUUUGAGUGGUCUGGCUGGGCGUGGUCCAGGCAAUAAUUUCUCCAAAACAUUGCCUAUCAAAUUGACCAACAAAUUGGUCAAUAUUUCAAUAUUAAUUCAAAAUAUUUAUUCAAUAUAAAAAUAUUUAUUAUCCAACAAUAAAUUAAUUCAAUACUAAAAAUAUAUAUUUUAUAUAUUUAUUAUAAUAUAAUAAUAAUAAAUUAAAAUUAUAAAAUUAUAAAAAUAAUAAAUAAGUAUAUUAAUUAUUAUAUAAGCAUAUUAAUUAUUAUUUAAUUAUUAUAUUAUAUAAUAAUAUGAUAAUUAUAAUAAAAAAAUUAAUAAUAACAUAUUAAUUCUAAUAAAAAUGUAUUAAGUCUAAUAAAAUUAGAUUAGAAUAAAUUUAUAUUAUAUUAAUAAUAUCAAUUUAAAAAUAUCAAUUUAUUUAUAAAUUAAUAUUUUUAAUAUAAUAUCUAAUAGAUCAAUAUUCUAUGUGAUAUUUUGUAUCUUCCGAUCAUAACUACUUCGUUGGAUGAUCCAUCUACACCGUAGUAUCCUUUUUUUUUAUCCGAAAUGUUCUCAUAAAUGGCAAAGGUAAAACGUUUCCUAAAAAUUUCAUUGGAUGGAGAAAGCUAGAACAACCCUUGUGGCAUUAAAAUAAAUAGUUGUGAGACGAAGGAUUGAGCCAGGUCCAACCUGCAGUCUACGUUGGAUUUGUGUCAACAUGCAAGCUCUAGCCAAACUAAAAGUAUACGAUAGUAACCACAAUCUUAUUAAGACACAAAAAUUCCAAACUUGAUCUAACUUGCCCUGUCUGAAAUUGUACUGUGCUAGAAUUAUUAAGAUUAUUAAAACACUGUAUUACUGUAUCAGAGUCCCCUUCUGGUUAUGGACUGCAGUAAAUGGGCUAGAGUCGGAGUUUCUUUUGGGCCCAGUAACAAGCCCAGCCCCUACACCUGCUGGUGAUAAGGAGAGAUUCUUUGUGGCCCGCAUGUGGUGUGGAAUGUAUGCACUGCACGAGAUCUGGGCAGCGGUGCGGAAAAAAAAAAAAAUUAUCCAAUUUUAUGGAUGAGUCAAUCACCGCGUACGAUAAGUUUUUAACCUAGGCUCGACCCAUGGGCUCAAUUUGACUUGCUGGCCGACAAAACAAGUGGGCCGCGCUCAGGUGUCGGUCGGCACCCCUACAACAUUUGUAUCCCCAGCAACAAUUACUGCAUCCAAGCCUGUUAAAAGAGAAUUUAACAAGCCCACUAUCUUUCCUAGGAGUUUCCCCUCUUAGAAAAGAUUACUUGUUUCAUUUCAACCCAGUGCAUAAUCUCUUUCCCAAUGGUAAAAGCUGCAACUCGUGGUGGUCAUUACGAUCUUUUUUUUUUUAAAAAAAAAUGUGAGCAAUGAGAUAAAGUUCGCCUUCCAACCCAACACUGGAGAUGAUCAGACUGAGAGAGUCAGCUCCAUAGCAUCCAUGAAGGAAUGCUUCAAAUUAGAAGACAAUCUUCCUUUUUCUUUCUUUCAGUGUAGAAUCAAUGGGCAGUUUAGCUUAAGAAAGAAAACAGAGGAUAACUUUAAAUUAAAAAAAAAAAAGAAAAGAAAGAAAACUUCAAAUUUUAGAAAAAAACUGGGGGAAAGAAAAAGAAAACAGGGCAGGUGUAGUAAACAAUUAGAAGCGCUCAUUUUACACUUAAUUGACAACAAUACACCGUAAAACUGCUUUCAGUCUAUCAAUAGAAAGAUAGAUACAACCUCUACCGGAUGUCUCCGAAGAGACUGAUAGAUACCACCACCUUGAAAAAGAUACAGGGGGGAAAUAAACUAUAUACAUACGAUUCUUGUGCCAAUUGCUUGAAAUGAAGAGAAUCAAGCAGAGAAGAGGCCAUUAAAGGCAGCUAACCCAAAGGGGCUCCUGGGCUCCAAAGCCUUCCUUGCAAGCUCCACCUCCUUGGCUCCCACCUCCCUUACCCAAGAGAGCUCCUCCCCAACCUUCUUUCCAGCAGCUGAAAGAGUCAUGGAGGAACCCAUAAAAUGGAAGCCCAUAUCUUCUCCCAUCCCGUGCUCCUUCUCCCACCUCUUCCUCCUCUCAAACUCCUCCACCACCAAGAGAGCUAUGUCUGCCAUCCCACCCACACUCACGAGAGAGAGAUGAUCCAAGCACAACGCUUAUCUCAAAUCCUUGGAUCUAAAGUUGGUGGGUUCAGCCUCAUUGAAGGAAUCCUUUUAUAUACAUGCUCUCAUCCAUCAUUCAUGAAUUCCACAUGGCUUUGUCCCUUGGUGGGUCGGUGCUGGGUUUUGGAUAAGACCGAGAGAGUUUUUUUGGUUUGUUUAUUAUGAGAAAAUUGCAAUGGGCUUGGCUGGUAUUUUCACCGGAACUUUCGGUGAUGCCCUCCGAUUUGUUUUUUUCCCAUUUUUUUAAGGGUAGUUUCGGUAUUUU